CAGCUGCCACUGAUGCCUUGACACAAUAGAAGAGAGAACCAAAGUUUUCCUGUGAGACCAGUGCUCCAUGCAAAUCAUCGUGGAGUUGAUUUGAGUGUACUCCUUCUGUAUCUGAAACUGAAAGGAAGAAAAUCUCAACUUCACGAUUGCACUGGAGUUAGUUAUGUCACUGCAGAACCCUUGACACGUGGAGAUGAAAUAGUGUGAAGUUCUGAAAUAAAAGGACAGUGCAAAUGACAUUUUUAAGAAGUUCCUGCUCAGCAUCUGAGGUCAUGUACAUUCUGGGAGCAGCCACUGUGGUGUGAGGCUCCUCCAUACCGUAUCCCUCCAUCCCUG
This 336-nucleotide long non-coding RNA is filed under the name Gallus gallus (chicken). RNAcentral's name for it is "lncRNA (ENSGALG00010010112.1)". Lineage: Eukaryota; Metazoa; Chordata; Aves; Galliformes; Phasianidae. The record is from RNAcentral.